CUCAGCAGAGCAGUCCUCAGGCCGUCUGGGUUGUUCCUGCUCUGCGGCAGCUGCAUGAGAUCACCCGUUCUUUCAUCAAGCAGACCUAUCAGAAACAAGACAAGAGCAUCAUCCAGGACUUGAAGAAGAACUUUGAGAUCGUCAAAUUGAUCACAGGAUCCCUCGUGUGCUGCCAUCGGCUCGCUGUGACCGCUUCGGGCAAUAAUGGCCUCUCAGGCUCAACUCUGGUGGAUGGACGAUACACCUACCAGGAGUAUCUGGACAGCCACCUGCGCUUCCUGGCCUUCUUCCUCCAGGAGGCCAGCCUCUACCUGGUCUGGAACAGGGCCAAGGAGCUGUGGGAGUGCCUGGUGUCCGGGCCAGAUGUCUGUGAACU
Plectropomus leopardus (leopard coralgrouper) is the source of this 376-nucleotide non-coding RNA. Lineage: Eukaryota; Metazoa; Chordata; Actinopteri; Perciformes; Serranidae. The record is from RefSeq and is a predicted model, not a curated record.